Molecule: unclassified non-coding RNA, 1709 nt
Filed under: Hevea brasiliensis (rubber tree)
Lineage: Eukaryota; Viridiplantae; Streptophyta; Magnoliopsida; Malpighiales; Euphorbiaceae
Source: RNAcentral
UGUUCUGCAGUGCUGGAUUUGGACCUACAAUAUCAAAAACAGGAUGAGGCAAUUAAGAAGAAUGUCUCAUGAUAGCAAUUUGCUGACACAGUUUUCCAGAAAGCCAGUUUGUUUCAAAAUUAAACUAUUUCCAUGGUUUUCCUGAACACAAUUUUAAAUCUAUGCAAUACUAAAAAUAAAGGAUAUUUAUUUGUGAAGCUAAUUAAAGAGACCUUCCCUAAUUUUGAGCACUUUGCCUGGAUUCUAUUUGUUGGAAAACGCUUAUUAAAUAAAGUCCCUGUUUUUAUUAAGUUUUAUUUCUUUUAGUUAUCUUCUUCCUUUUCCUAGUUAGUCUAGAAUUCUUGUUGUAUCUAGAUUUCUCGUGUAUAAAUAGGAAGAGUGUGUAAAGCAUAUUGAUAUUGAAUACAAUAAUAUAUACUAAUUUUCCUCAAAAACCAGUCUGUUCAACAUACUAUCAAAGCUCUGCCAUCUUUCAUUGGUGUGAGCAAUCAGAGUUAGGGUUAGGGCUUGCUUGGGUCAAGCUUCUAGGCGACAUCUACAAGGGGAGUUGAAGUACACUGCCUACCUCUCUGUCCCCGGAGAUUUGCCGUCAUCUGGUUACACGAGUGACCUCAUGCGCCGCUGCAAGUUCCGGCGUCAUUCCCAAACGCCAGUGCGUGAAACAUUGCCCAGAGAUUUUUUCUGGCCGUUCUCUUUUCCAACGGCCUUCCCUAAGAGUUGCGCCUCCACUUAGCAAGUUUCCUGCAUCUAGUUAGCUCUUUGUUACCUAGACAUAUUGUUUUUGAACAAGUUCUGUAAUUUUUUUUGGGGUACUGUUACUCUAUAGAUUUUUCAGUACCAAUAUUCCUUUUUUAUUAAAAAUGGCUGGGAGGAAAAAGGAGAUUUCAAAAACUAAGAUGGGUAAUAUAACUGACAAUCAUUCUUUACAAAUCAGUCCCAUAAAGCUUCACGGUACUAAUUAUCUUGCGUGAUUAAGAUCCUGUUCAUUGUUCAUUCAGGCUGGAGGACUGCAAGGAUACGUCACCGGAGAUAAAUCAAAAUUGGAAACUGUAAGUACCACUUAUAGCCAGUGGGAAUCGGAGAAUUCCCCUAUUAUGUCUUGGCUUAUUAAUUCGAUGCAACCUCAGAUAGUACGUGGAUAUUUGCUGUUGAAUAGUACAACAGCUAUUUGGAAUGCAAUUUCCCAAACCUAAUCUCAGAUGCGCAAUGAUGCACAAAUUUAUGAGCUUCAGAACAAGGUUCAUAAUACAGCACAAGUUUCAUAAUACGAAACACGGUGAGAUAAUCAUUGCUUAAUACUUUGCAAAAUUAAGUGUUUUAUGGCAAGAAUUGGACUACUAUCAGGAUUUUCAAGCCACAUGUACUGCCGAUUCUGUUAAGUUCUAGAAACAGAUUGAAAAAGAGCGAAUUUAUGACUUUCUUGCUAGGUUGAAGAUAGAGUAUGAUCAGAUUCGAGUCCAAAUACUUGGUAGGGAUCCCAUGUUAGAACUUGCACUAAACAUCCUAUAUUCAAGUUUGUUUCCUAUGAUUCCUUAUCUCCCUCCUAUAAAGCAUUUGUUUUAUCUAUUUCUUCUAUUUCUAUCCCACAGGAUUGGAAGAGAACAUAUCUUAAUCCAAAAUGGUAGGCAGUCAUGGUAAAGGAAAUGAAGGCAUUGGCAAAAAAUGAAAUAUGAGAUCUUGUUACUCUUCCAUUGGGGAAGAAAGUAGUU